GUAUUUUAUUGACCUCUAUUGGUUCUAUUUGUUGAAAAAGUAAGUCUGGUGGGAUAAAGAGGGUAAUAAAAAUGUUGGAGAUCUCUCUUGCAUUCAAGAAAAUAUUAUUCAAAAUUUAGAUCUCUGAAAAGAAAAUGUAGUUGAAUUAAAACACCAUUUGAAGGAAGACAUUAAUUUUGAGUUGGUUUCUGAACCAGAAUGGAGUACUUGUUCAGCGGUACCAGCUUGCUCCUGGAAAGGACCUGUAGCCUGAAUGGUAUUUGUUUAAUACAAAAACAGAAUGAAUUGAUGUCUACUUCUUGAAGGAUUUAGAGGUUGUAGACUAUGGAAUGCUGACCAGUUAUCUGUGAGAAGAAAUUCACCUGACCAACCUUUAAAUAGCCUAAGAUCCUGAGAAUAAGAAAACACAGGUGAAGAUAUUAAGGAACGACGAUAUGCUAGGUAAAAUGAUAGAAGAUAUUCCAAAAUCAGUUAAUUAAGUAGUUGCAUAUAUUUUAUGGGAGGAACUGUUGAAAAAUCCUUCAUGAAAUAUUUAAAAUAUCAGGAAAUAGCCAUAGUGAGCUAUGAAUGACAUCAUGCAAUCAAGCUAAGAAAAAAUUAUCUAUGAAAAAGCAGUCAAUCCAGGAAGUAAGUUGAAUAACAAACCAAACUUGGGUGGCCAAAGUACAGAACAAGAAUGGAACAUGACCAAGAAAGUCAUAUUCAUGAAUCCCAAAGGCAUCUUAUUCAUCAAUGUAGAUGCUGAUAUUUCUUCCAAAACAACAAUGAACUAUCUUGUAUGGAGAUCAAUGGCAUAUGUUCUGGUACUAAGGUGUUAUAGUCACACCUUGUUGGAUCCCCCUCGAAGCUGAAUUUAAGCUAGAAGCUUUCACUCAAACAAAGUAACUCGAUAAAUCAUUUACUCAAACUCAUCUUAACAGUCUGUUUCUCUGCCUUUCGUCAACCUGCGAGUAAAUCCCGAGUUGCGGCAAAGUAUAAGUUAAUGGAAAGCUCAAUUGUCUUUUUGGUUACCUUGAUAUACUUAGUUAAUAAUAUUGCUUUUAUGAAAACGGUCAAAUUUACAGCAAAAAGUUUCCUAUCUUGGGAAUCAAGCAGUUAAACAUCCUUCAUCCGCUUCACAAAUGCGAAAAUCUCAUUUGUGUCCAAGUUGGUCUGCUGUGGCUGAAGCGUUUGCAGUAUCCUAAUAUGACAUGCGGUAUUUCCCCGCCAGACGCGUGGGGGAGCUACGGUAUAUGACCUAGUAUGUAUAAAGACAUCGUUUGCACACCCAUAAACUAGGUAUGGUUAAAUUCAUCUAAUUAAGACUAAUCUUUCUAUGCUAAUUAUAAGUUUCUAUCUAAAAGUUAGGGAUAUAAGGAUACUGCCAGGAAAUUUACAGAACAAAAGUGCAAU
Long non-coding RNA from Daphnia magna, 1392 nucleotides. RefSeq lists it as uncharacterized. NCBI's taxonomy places the organism in Eukaryota, Metazoa, Arthropoda, Branchiopoda, Diplostraca, Daphniidae. The record is from RefSeq and is a predicted model, not a curated record. The transcript is spliced from 3 exons.